CCUACGGGUGGCAGCAGUGGGGAAUAUUGGACAAUGGGGGCAACCCUGAUCCAGCCAUGCCGCGUGUGUGAAGAAGACCCUCGGGUUGUAAAGCACUUUCAGUGAGGAAGAACGCCUGGUGGUUAAUACCCAUCAGGAAAGACAUCACUCACAGAAGAAGCACCGGCUAACUCCGUGCCAGCAGCCGCGGUAAUACGGAGGGUGCGAGCGUUAAUCGGAAUUACUGGGCGUAAAGCGCGCGUAGGUGGCUUGAUAAGCCGGUUGUGAAAGCCCCGGGCUCAACCUGGGAACGGCAUCCGGAACUGUCAAGCUAGAGUGCAGGAGAGGAAGGUAGAAUUCCCGGUGUAGCGGUGAAAUGCGUAGAGAUCGGGAGGAAUACCAGUGGCGAAGGCGGCCUUCUGGACUGACACUGACACUGAGGUGCGAAAGCGUGGGUAGCAAACAGGAUUAGAUACCCUAGUAGUC
This 465-nucleotide ribosomal RNA is filed under the name Vreelandella stevensii. Its description in RNAcentral is "partial 16S ribosomal RNA". It matches the Rfam family "Bacterial small subunit ribosomal RNA", at positions 338 to 795 of the family's 1533-position model. The record is from RNAcentral. Lineage: Bacteria; Pseudomonadati; Pseudomonadota; Gammaproteobacteria; Oceanospirillales; Halomonadaceae.